AAUUGGCUAAAUACACUUAAGUGAGCCACCACAAUCAGCAACGGGAACCCUUACGGCAAUUCAAUGCACCAGAACCAACCGUCAACGGUCCAACGAGAGAAGACGGUCUAGCGCCAAGACUCGAAGCCUUGGCAUAGCUAGACGAGGUAGCACCACCGGAAGGCGUAAAAAACGCACCGUUUAGCAAUAAAUCACCAGAGGAUCUCCAGUUCCAGCUCUUCCACUCACUCUCUGGGGCGUCCUCAUGCUUAGUCACUUCUUUGCUAAAUCUAAUAUCCGGGGCCAAAAAUCUGUUCCCUUGACUAUUGAUUGUAGGGUCAGCACUUCCACCAAUAGCAUACAUCUCCCAAUGCGUAUAGUCGUUGUUCACCACAUGGAAGUACCCAUGUCUACACCUACACACAUCAAACAAAUGGUCCCAAAAAUUUAAUCACACAUCAAAAUCACAUUUAAUUUACUAACAAAAAUCUAACAUCAAUUAUUAUAUUUUUUUUUACCUUGGCAUUCUUUGAACAAGGCCUUCACCAAAAUGGUUAAAAGCAAUGGUGAUUUGCAUGUUCUUGUCACGAGUGUAAGUGUCACUAUGACCAAGCAACAUGACCUUGUCAUGAUGCGUCAUAUAAUUGUUAGACAGAGUAAUAGCCGUGGAGCCCAUUAUGGCAUCAAUAAGCCCGUCUUCGCAGUUAGAUAGUGAACAAUGGUCAACCCAAACAUGACUUCCUCCAAAGAUGGAGACACCGUCACCGUCCGAUAUCGUUCUCCACCCGUAAUGCCGUGGUGAGCUCCGCACCAUAGCGUUACCACCUGGCUUACAAUCAUGGAUAUGGAUACCAUGGAUGAUGAUGUUAGUCACGUACUGGAUCGUAAUGCAUGGCCCACCAGCGAUGUGUACUGACGCGCCACGACCGUCUAUGGUCUUGAAAGAGUUCAUGAUCAGCUCUUCUUUGAGCUGAAUGGUCAUGUCUCGUUGGAAAAUGAUCCAUAGUGGCUCGUCUUGAACUACGGCGUGUCUUAACGUUCCGGGUUUGGGGGUCACUGGGUCGUCGUUUCCUGAGUCUGUCACCACGUAGAUACGACCGUCUCGGCCGCCGAUAGCGUUCUUGCCGAACCCUAUGGCGCAGUCUGCGAGACGCUGACGGUUGGUCUCCCAGUGUGGGUCGCAUCGCCAACAGUCGUCGAUAGGGUUACCAGUGGUGCAUGAGAGGUAACCUAGCUUCCUUCUUCCAGAGAGAAGACGGUCUAGCGCCAAGACUCGAAGCCUUGGCAUAGCUAGACGAGGUAGCACCACCGGAAGGCGUAAAAAACGCACCGUUUAGCAAUAAAUCACCAGAGGAUCUCCAGUUCCAGCUCUUCCACUCACUCUCUGGGGCGUCCUCAUGCUUAGUCACUUCUUUGCUAAAUCUAAUAUCCGGGGCCAAAAAUCUGUUCCCUUGACUAUUGAUUGUAGGGUCAGCACUUCCACCAAUAGCAUACAUCUCCCAAUGCGUAUAGUCGUUGUUCACCACAUGGAAGUACCCAUGUCUACACCUACACACAUCAAACAAAUGGUCCCAAAAAUUUAAUCACACAUCAAAAUCACAUUUAAUUUACUAACAAAAAUCUAACAUCA
RNAcentral lists this long non-coding RNA (1609 nucleotides) under Brassica napus (rape). Its description in RNAcentral is "long non-coding RNA (BNAP_LNC025665)". Lineage: Eukaryota; Viridiplantae; Streptophyta; Magnoliopsida; Brassicales; Brassicaceae. The record is from RNAcentral.